Molecule: ribosomal RNA, 492 nt
Filed under: uncultured bacterium
Lineage: Bacteria
Description: bacterial SSU rRNA
Rfam family: Bacterial small subunit ribosomal RNA
Source: RNAcentral
GAUCCUGGCUCAGGAUGAACGCUGGCGGCGCGCUUAACACAUGCAAGUCGAACGGUUAAAGCACCUCCGGGUGUGCAUAAAGUGGCGAACGGCUGAGUAACACGUGGGCAACCUGCCCCCCGCACCGGGAUAGCCUCGGGAAACCGUGGGUAAUACCGGAUACUCCGCCACCCCCGCAUGGGGGAGGCGGGAAAGCGUACACGGCGGGGGAUGGGCCCGCGGCCUGUUAGCUCGUUGGCGGGGUAACGGCCCACCAAGGCGAUUAUGGGUAGCCGGGUUGAGAGACCGACCGGCCAGAUUGGGACUGAGACACGGCCCAGACUCCUACGGGAGGCAGCAGUGGGGAAUCUUGCACAAUGGGCGAAAGCCUGAUGCAAGCGACGCCGCGUGCGGGAUGAAGGCCCUCGGGUUGUAAACCGCUUUCAGCAGGGACGAGGCGCAAGUGACGGUACCUGCAGAAGAAGCCCCGGCUAACUACGUGCCAGCCGCGGC